Molecule: ribosomal RNA, 207 nt
Filed under: uncultured bacterium
Lineage: Bacteria
Description: partial 16S ribosomal RNA
Rfam family: Bacterial small subunit ribosomal RNA
Source: RNAcentral
CGGACUGUAGGCUGCAACCCGCCUGCACGAAGUUGGAAUUGCUAGUAAUCGUGGAUCAGCAUGCCACGGUGAAUACGUUCCCGGGUCUUGUACACACCGCCCGUCACACCAUGGGAGUCGGUAACACCCGAAGUCAGUAGUCUAACCGCAAGGAGGACGCUGCCGAAGGUGGGAUUGACGACUGGGGUGAAGUCGUAACAAGGUACC